UCCCUGGAGGACUAGUGGUUAGGCCACAGCGCUCUCACCGCUGUGGUCUGAGUUUGAUUCCUGGCCAAGGAA
This 72-nucleotide transfer RNA is filed under the name Pangasius djambal. RNAcentral describes it as "tRNA-Glu". It matches the Rfam family "tRNA". From Rfam's summary of the family: Transfer RNA (tRNA) molecules are approximately 80 nucleotides in length. Their secondary structure includes four short double-helical elements and three loops (D, anti-codon, and T loops). Lineage: Eukaryota; Metazoa; Chordata; Actinopteri; Siluriformes; Pangasiidae. The record is from RNAcentral.